Molecule: ribosomal RNA, 445 nt
Filed under: uncultured bacterium
Lineage: Bacteria
Description: bacterial SSU rRNA
Rfam family: Bacterial small subunit ribosomal RNA
Source: RNAcentral
GUAAGGAAUAUUGGACAAUGGACGCAAGUCUGAUCCAGCCAUGCCGCGUGAAGGAUUAAGGUCCUCUGGAUUGUAAACUUCUUUUAUAAGGGACGAAAAAAGGCUUUUCUAAGUCGUCUGACGGUACCUUAUGAAUAAGCACCGGCUAACUCCGUGCCAGCAGCCGCGGUAAUACGGAGGGUGCAAGCGUUAUCCGGAUUCACUGGGUUUAAAGGGUGCGUAGGCGGGCAGGUAAGUCAGUGGUGAAAUCCUAGAGCUUAACUCUAGAACUGCCAUGGAUACUAUCUGUCUUGAAUGUUGUGGAGGUAAGCGGAAUAUGUCAUGUAGCGGUGAAAUGCUUCGAUAUGACAUAGAACACCUAUUGCGAAGGCAGCUUACUACGCAUAUAUUGACGCUGAGGCACGAAAGCGUGGGGAUCAAACAGGAUUAGAUACCCGAGUAGUCC